CCCAGUCCUGACUAUGGUUGUCCAUGAGUCGAACAUUUGAUCGCUAUCGAAGGAGCUCCAUGCUGAAGAAGAAAACACUUGUAGAGCUUGUAACUGUUAUUACACUUGUAGAGCUUGUAAAAUAUUGUAUAUGUUACAUCUUCUAUUAUGUGUUAUUUGUAGAGCUUGUAUUGAAUCUGGCUAUUGUUACUUGAAGUAUUAUGUGUGUUUUCUGCUUGCCAAUUCAAAUAUUGGUAUUGUUUUACUGUCAAAUUGAAAUAUGAAGAAUUUGAGCCUAAUAGCUGGGACUCACUUAUCAGAACCUGACAAGUGGGACCUGU
Molecule: long non-coding RNA, 320 nt
Filed under: Hordeum vulgare
Lineage: Eukaryota; Viridiplantae; Streptophyta; Magnoliopsida; Poales; Poaceae
Description: long non-coding RNA (HVUL_LNC002817)
Source: RNAcentral